UUAGUCCUAACCUUACCGUUAAUUCUUGCUAAACAUAUACAUGCAAGUAUCCGCGCUCCAGUGUAAAUGCCCUCGGCGCCUUACUAAGACCCGAGGAGCGGGCAUCAGGCACACCCACAGUCGUAGCCCAAGACGCCUUGCUCAGCCACACCCCCACGGGCACUCAGCAGUAAUUAACAUUAAGCAAUAAGUGUAAACUCGACUUAGUUAUAGCAAUUCCUAGGGUUGGUCAAUCUUGUGCCAGCCACCGCGGUCACACAAGAAACCCAAAUUAACCGUAAUACGGCGUAAAGCGUGACAUUAUGUUAUCUCUCUAAACUAGGAUCAAAAUACAACUAAGCUGUCAUAAGCCCAUGAUGUACCCAAAAUCAACCUGAAAACGAUCCUAGCCUCAACGAUCUAUUAACCGUCACGAAAGCUAGAAUACAAACUGGGAUUAGAUACCCCACUAUGCCUAGCCCUAAAUCUUGAUACUUCCCCCACUAAAGUAUUCGCCCGAGAACUACGAGCACAAACGCUUAAAACUCUAAGGACUUGGCGGUGCCCCAAACCCACCUAGAGGAGCCUGUUCUGUAAUCGAUAACCCACGAUACACCCGACCACUUCUUGCCAAAGCAGCCUACAUACCGCCGUCGCCAGUUCACCUCCCCUGAGAGAGCAACAGUGAACAUAAUAGCCCCACCCGCUAAUAAGACAGGUCAAGGUAUAGCCUAUGGAGUGGAAGAAAUGGGCUACAUUUUCUAGAAUAGAAAACCACGGAAAGAGAUAUGAAACCACCUCUGGAAGGCGGAUUUAGCAGUAAAGAAGGAUAAUAAAGCCACCUUUAAACUGGCUCUGGGGCACGUACAUACCGCCCGUCACCCUCCUCAAAAGCUACAACUCCCAACAUACCUAAUUUCCUAAUUAGCUAAAGAUGAGGUAAGUCGUAACAAGGUAAGUGUACCGGAAGGUGUACUUAGCAUACCAAGACGUAGCUAUAACAAAAGCAUUCAGC
Molecule: non-coding RNA, 994 nt
Filed under: Tachymarptis melba
Lineage: Eukaryota; Metazoa; Chordata; Aves; Apodiformes; Apodidae
Description: partial 12S ribosomal RNA
Rfam family: Bacterial small subunit ribosomal RNA
Source: RNAcentral